This 576-nucleotide ribosomal RNA is filed under the name uncultured bacterium. RNAcentral's name for it is "bacterial SSU rRNA". It matches the Rfam family "Bacterial small subunit ribosomal RNA", at positions 102 to 674 of the family's 1533-position model. The record is from RNAcentral.
ACGGGUGAGUAAUACAUCGGAACGUAUCCUGGAGUGGGGGAUAGCCCGGCGAAAGCCGGAUUAAUACCGCAUACGCUCUGAGGAGGAAAGCGGGGGACCUUCGGGCCUCGCGCUCAAGGGGCGGCCGAUGGCGGAUUAGGUAGUUGGUGGGGUAAAGGCCUACCAAGCCGACGAUCCGUAGCUGGUCUGAGAGGACGACCAGCCACACUGGGACUGAGACACGGCCCAGACUCCUACGGGAGGCAGCAGUGGGGAAUUUUGGACAAUGGGGGCAACCCUGAUUCAGCAAUGCCGCGUGUGUGAAGAAGGCCUUCGGGUUGUAAAGCACUUUUGUCCGGAAAGAAAUCAUCGGGGCCAAUACCCCUGGUGGAUGACGGUACCGGAAGAAUAAGCACCGGCUAACUACGUGCCAGCAGCCGCGGUAAUACGUAGGGUGCGAGCGUUAAUCGGAAUUACUGGGCGUAAAGCGUGCGCAGGCGGUGCUGUAAGACCGAUGUGAAAUCCCCGGGCUUAACCUGGGAACUGCAUUGGUGACUGCAGCGCUGGAGUAUGGCAGAGGGGGGUGGAAUUCCACGU